AGCGACAUAUCGGAUUCGAACCGAUGACACCAAGAUUGGAAAACUCGUGCUCUACCAACUGAGCUAAUGUCGC
This 73-nucleotide transfer RNA is filed under the name Vibrio phage 1.244.A._10N.261.54.C3. RNAcentral's name for it is "tRNA-Gly". The record is from RNAcentral. Lineage: Duplodnaviria; Heunggongvirae; Uroviricota; Caudoviricetes; Pantevenvirales; Ackermannviridae. RNAcentral also lists the same sequence under 1 other name.